UACGGGGGGGGCAAGCGUUGUUCGGAAUUACUGGGCGUAAAGGGCUCGUAGGCGGCCAACUAAGUCGGAUGUGAAAUCCCCAGGCUUAACCUGGGAACUGCAUCCGAUACUGGAUGGCUUGAAUCCGGGAGAGGGAUGCAGAAUUCCAGGUGUAGCGGUGAAAUGCGUAGAUAUCUGGAGGAAUACCGGUGGCGAAGGCGGCAUCCUGGACCGGCAUUGACGCUGAUUAGCGAAAGCUAGGGGAGCAAACGGG
Molecule: ribosomal RNA, 253 nt
Filed under: uncultured bacterium
Lineage: Bacteria
Description: partial 16S ribosomal RNA
Rfam family: Bacterial small subunit ribosomal RNA
Source: RNAcentral